RNAcentral lists this ribosomal RNA (797 nucleotides) under uncultured bacterium. RNAcentral's name for it is "bacterial SSU rRNA". It matches the Rfam family "Bacterial small subunit ribosomal RNA", at positions 8 to 796 of the family's 1533-position model. The record is from RNAcentral.
AGAGUUUGAUCAUGGCUCAGAUUGAACGUUGGCGGCAGGCCUAAAACAUGCAAGUCGAACGGUAACAGCGGAAGCUUGCUUCCGGCUGACGAGUGGCGGACGGGUGAGUAACACGUAGGAAUCUACCUAGUAGUGGGGGACAACCCGGGGAAACCCGGGCUAAUACCGCAUACGCUCUACGGAGGAAAGCGGGGGAUCUUCGGACCUCGCGCUAUUGGAGGAGCCUGCGUCGGAUUAGCUAGUUGGUGGGGUAAAGGCCUACCAAGGCGACGAUCCGUAGCUGGUCUGAGAGGACGAUCAGCCACACUGGAACUGAGACACGGUCCAGACUCCUACGGGAGGCAGCAGUUAGGAAUCUUGGGCAAUGGGCGCAAGCCUGACCCAGCCAUGCCGCGUGUGUGAAGAAGGCCUUCGGGUUGUAAAGCACUUUCAGCGGUGAAGAAAAGCUCAGGGCCAAUAUCCUUGAGUCUUGACGUUAACCGCAGAAGAAGCACCGGCUAACUCCGUGCCAGCAGCCGCGGUAAUACGGAGGGUGCGAACGUUAAUCGGAAUCACUGGGCGUAAAGCGCGCGUAGGCGGUUUGUUAAGUGGGAUGUGAAAGCCCCGGGCUUAACCUGGGAAUUGCAUUUCAAACUGGCAAACUAGAGUGCGGUAGAGGGAGGUAGAAUUUCCUGUGUAGCGGUGAAAUGCGUAGAUAUAGGAAGGAAUACCAGUGGCGAAGGCGGCCUCCUGGAUCGACACUGACGCUAAGGCGCGAAAGCGUGGGGAGCAAACAGGAUUAGAUACCCUAGUAGUCC